Molecule: microRNA precursor, 103 nt
Filed under: Marmota monax (woodchuck)
Lineage: Eukaryota; Metazoa; Chordata; Mammalia; Rodentia; Sciuridae
Source: RNAcentral
AGUGGGAUAGCUGGGUUAAAUGGUGGUUCCAUUCCAAAUUUUUAAAGGAAUCUCCGUACUGCUUUCCAGAGUGAUUGCACCAAUUUGUAGUCCCACUAGCAAU